Molecule: transfer RNA, 74 nt
Filed under: Epiplatys dageti (redchin panchax)
Lineage: Eukaryota; Metazoa; Chordata; Actinopteri; Cyprinodontiformes; Nothobranchiidae
Description: tRNA-Val
Rfam family: tRNA
About the family: Transfer RNA (tRNA) molecules are approximately 80 nucleotides in length.
Source: RNAcentral
CAGAACGUAGCUAAAAAGACUUAAAGCAUCUCUUUUACACUGAGAAGACACCCGUGCAAAUCGGGUCGCUCUGA